This 301-nucleotide ribosomal RNA is filed under the name uncultured bacterium. RNAcentral describes it as "partial 16S ribosomal RNA". It matches the Rfam family "Bacterial small subunit ribosomal RNA", at positions 509 to 807 of the family's 1533-position model. The record is from RNAcentral.
CAGUAGCCGCGGUAAUACGGAGGGUGCAAGCGUUAAUCGGAAUUACUGGGCGUAAAGCGUGCGCAGGCGGUUUGUUAAGUCAGAUGUGAAAUCCCCGAGCUUAACUUGGGAACUGCAUUUGAAACUGGCAAGCUAGAGUCUUGUAGAGGGGGGUAGAAUUCCAGGUGUAGCGGUGAAAUGCGUAGAGAUCUGGAGGAAUACCGGUGGCGAAGGCGGCCCCCUGGACAAAGACUGACGCUCAGGUGCGAAAGCGUGGGGAGCAAACAGGAUUAGAUACCCGCGUAGUCCCUGUCUCUUAUAC